GGUAUAAAAUUGUUAAAUUAAUAUAUAUUAUAUAAUUAUUAUAGUUUAUUCAUACUUUUAUUAAGUAUAACAUAAGAUUUUGUGAUAUCCACUAGUGUAAAUAUUUUAAAUUGAAGAUCGAAUUCAUUCUUUUUAUUCAUAUAGGGUCAAGGAGUGUAGCUGUAAAAAAUCAUCAAAAUCGGAGUUAAAAUAACUGUUAAAUCAUGAUUUUUCGUUUUAUAACCGUCGAAAAGUUUUGUCUCGUUACUUGAUCUCUGAAUGUUUGUUUUUUUACAAUUUUUGGCGUAUGGGAUCUCGAAGUAUAUACAAACAUGUUUGACUGUUGGAUCGUUGAAACUAGUUUCGUAGAAUGCGUGUAUCUCAUCAAAACAAUAGAUUUACUAACACUUAAAAGUUUAUUCAUACUUUCAUUAAGUAUAACAUAAGAUUUUUUUUUAUCCACUAGUGUAAAUAUUUUAAUUGAAGAUCGAAUUCAAUCAUUGUAUUCAUAUAGGGUCAAGGAGUGUAGCUGCAAAAAAUCAUCAAAAUCGGAGUUAAAAUGAUCGUUAAAUCGGGAUUUUUCUUUUUAUAACCGUCGAAAAGUUUUGUCCCGUUCCUUGACCUCUGAAUGUUUGUUUUUUACAAUUUUUGGCGUAUGCGAUCUCGAAGUAUAUACAAACAUUUUUUACAGUUGGAUCAUUGAAACUAAUUUCGUAGAAUGAGCAUCCCAUCAAAAUAAUAGAUUCACUAAUACUUAAGAGUUUAUUCAUACUUUCAUCAAGUAUAACACAAGAUUUUGUGGUAUCCACUAGUGUAAAUAUUUUAAAUUGAAGAUUGAAUUUAUUCAUUGUAUUCAUAUAGGGUCAAGGAGUGUAGCUGUAAAAAAUCAUCAAAAUCGGAGUUAAAAUAACCGUUAAAUCGUGAUUUUUCGUUUAUAACCGUCGAAAAGUUUUAUCCCAUUACUUUAUCUCUGAAUGUUUUUUUUUUUUGCAAUUUUUGGCGUAUGCGAUCUCGAAGUAUAUACAAACAUGUUUGACGGUUGGAUCAUUGAAACUAGUUUCGUAGAAUGAGUAUCCCAUCAAAACAAUAGAUUAACUAAUACUUACGAAUUUAUUUGUACUUUCAUUAAGUAUAACAUAAAAUUUUGUGGUAUUCACUAGUGUAAAUAUUUUAAAUUGAAGAUCGAAUUCAUUCAUUGUAUUCAUAUAGGGUCAAAGAGUGUAGCUAUAAAAAAAUCAUCAAAAUCAGAGUUAAAAUAACCGUUAAAUAGUGAUUUUUCGUUUAUAACCGUCGAAAAGUUUUGUCUCGUUACUUUAUCUCUGAAUGUUUGUUUUUUGCAAUUUUUGGUGUUUGCGAUCUCGAAGUAUAUACGAACAUGUUUGACGGUUGGAUCAUUGAAACUAGUUUCGUAGAAUGAGUAUCCUAUCAAAACAAUAGAUUCACUAAUACUUAAGAGUUUAUUCAUACUUUCAUUAAGGAUAACAUAAGAUUUUGUGGUAUCCACUAGUGUUAAUAUUUUAAAUUGAAGAUUGAAUUUAUUCAUUGUAUUCAUAUAGGAUUAAGAACUGUAGCUAUAAAAAAUAAUCAAAAUCGGAGUUAAAAUAACCGUUAAAUUGUAAUUUUUUGUUUUAUAACCAUUGAAACGUUUUGGUCGGUUACUUGAUCUAUGAAUGUUUGUUUUUUGCAAUUUUUUGCUGAUACGAUCUCGAAGCAUAUACAAACAAGUUUGACGGUUGGAUCUUUGAAAUUAGUUUUGUAUAUUUCGUAUCCCAUCAAGUUCAAUGGUGUGUGUGUGUGUGUGUAUAUAUAUAUAUAUAUAUUAAGUAGAUUUAAAUCUAUUUAUUUUGUACGUAUAAUUGACCGGUACACGGAGUAGUACAUCCCGUGUCAUUAUAAAAAUAAUGGGAUAUGUCAUAUGUGUGAUAAAAAGUUAAUAACUUAAAAAAAAAAAAAUUUCUCACCACUUUUAUUAAUUUUCAUUUUCCCUCUUUUUUUUUGUUUCCUUUUCAGCUUUUCUUAUAAUUUUCAUUUUUCCCUUCCUUUUUUUUCUUCAAAGGGCAGCAGCCUACCCAUCUUUCCCUCUCGUUUUUUGUUUCCUUUUCAGCUUUUCUUAUAAUUUUCAUUUUCCCUCCCUUUUUCUUCAAAGGGUGCGGCAAGAAUGGAAUUGAAUUAUGGAAUCAAUGGAUGCAUAUUAAUUAAUAAUUAUUAUGGUUUUUAUAAAAUUUAAUUUAAAAUAUA
Molecule: long non-coding RNA, 2217 nt
Filed under: Malus domestica (apple)
Lineage: Eukaryota; Viridiplantae; Streptophyta; Magnoliopsida; Rosales; Rosaceae
Description: long non-coding RNA (MDOM_LNC003973)
Source: RNAcentral